Molecule: long non-coding RNA, 1720 nt
Organism: Passer montanus (Eurasian tree sparrow)
Lineage: Eukaryota; Metazoa; Chordata; Aves; Passeriformes; Passeridae
Exons: 3
Source: RefSeq, a predicted model, not a curated record
CCAAGAAAAGUUAAUAAGCUGGAAUCAGCUUUCUGGAGUGCAAAUAGGACACAGGUUUGGCUUUGGUCAGUACUAUCCUCUCAGGAAACAAACAGGAACUCAGGGCACGUGUAGGCUGAUCUUCUCACUCUUCUGCUCUUCUUGUCACAGAAAAUUGGUCACAAUUCCCUGAAGAUCCUUCCAAAUCCAUUGGUCAUGCCUACAUCUGCAUGUGCAGCAAGCUCCACAAUCCCAUCUUGGGGAAUUAAUGGCUUCUCUUUCUCUCAAAGCAUUUUGGAAGGGAUUCCAAAUCAGAGGGGCUGAAAGGUGAGCUACAGGUGUGCUACUGGAAAUGCUUGAAGGUUUCUGACAACCUGGACUAGUGGAAUGUGUUCCUGACCAUGGGAGAGGGGUGGAAUGAGAUCAGUUUUUAGGUGCCUUCCUAAAAAGGGCAGUCUGUGAUUCAGUGAAUCUGUGCUGCCUCCUUCCAUACUCUUCCCACUGUCAUAAGCUUCCUCCAUCACCUCUGCAGGUGCCAGCAGUCACCAGGCAGCAGAAGCCAGCUCAGGAAGGAAAAAAGCAGAAGCAAGAGGUCAUUAAAGAACCCACUGAGAGGGAGGACUUUUCCAAGGAAGCAUAGCCAAAACCAGGGAAGAGGGAGGAGCACAGAGGACAGGACUGACACCCUCACAGCUCAGCAACAGCAACCCAUUGGAUCCACAGAAUCAUGAAAUCAGAGAAUCACUAAGGUUGGAAAAGCCCUCUGGGCCCACUGAGUCCAGCUGCUCCCCCAGCACUUCCAAGGCCACCACUGACCCCUGUCCCCACGUGCCACAUCCAUGUGGCUGUUAAAUCCCCCCUGCCCCGAGGCAGUCUGUUCCAGGGCUGCACAGCCCUUUGCAGGUGAGUUUUUUCCAGUAUCCAACCUAAACCUCUCCUGGAACCACCUGAGGCCGUUUCCUCUCAUCCUGUCACUUGUUUCCUGAGCAGACCCUGACCCCCACCUGGCUGUGUCCUCCUGUCAGGGAGCUGCAGAGAGAAGAUCCUCCCUGUGCCUCCUUCUCUCCACAGCUGCUGCUGUGGCUCCAGACCCUCCUCCAGCUCUGUUCCCUUCUCUGGACACACUGCAGCCCCUCAAUGGGGCCCCUCCUUUCUUGUUGGGAAGAGCCCAAACUUGCCCCCAGGACUGGAGGUCCCUCAGCAGCGCCCAGCACAGGGGAUGGUCACUGCCCUGGGUGUCUGGUCACUCUGCUGCUGCUACAAGCCAGGUGCCACUGGCCUCUUACCCACCUUGCCACACUUGGUCUCAUGUUCAGCUACUGUCAUCAGCACCAGCACUAGGUGACCUUUCCCAGCUUUCCAGCCACUCUGCGUGGAGCACUACAGGGAGUUGCUGUGACCCAGGUUACCACAGAAGUUUAAUUGUACACUGAGAAAACAGACUGCUGACACGACACCGCAUCUGGUGACACUGACAACGGAAAGACUGAAGACCUUUAGACAGAAAAACGCGCAAGUGAAGUGCCAGGCUCCCGUCCCCUCCCCGGCUCACCGGCGGGAGGCCAGCAGGAUCUCGGGCGCUCGGUACCAGCGCGUGGCCACGUACUCGAAAACUGGAGUGAAGGAUACAGACCAUGACUGAAAUGUACCUUCUGAUCCCUGUGAAUAACAUUCCCUGAGUGGAUGAAUUUAGUUGCCUUCAGAAGUUGGUAGAGAAUGUAACAUUUGUGGAUGUCUUUCA